RNA transcript from Syngnathus acus (greater pipefish), 1886 nucleotides. It is a transcript of the gene named DnaJ heat shock protein family (Hsp40) member B12a, with no coding region annotated. The record is from RefSeq and is a predicted model, not a curated record. The transcript has 10 exons. Lineage: Eukaryota; Metazoa; Chordata; Actinopteri; Syngnathiformes; Syngnathidae.
GUGUGACGUCAUCACUCCGCGUCCAGAGUUGGGUCAAGUAAAUAGUUCCGCCGUGUCGCGAUGGACUCAAACAAGGACGAAGCGGAGCGUUGCAUCAAAAUCGCUCUGAAUGCAGUCAGCAACAACCAGCCGGACAGAGCCAAGAAGUUUCUAGAGAAGGCCCAGCGUCUGUUCCCGACAGACCAAGCCCAAAGUUUAUUGGACACGCUAGCGCAGAAUGGGAAGCCUCCGGACCAGAAUGGGCGACCUGUCCACGGAGAAAGAACCUCCCCGAGGCAGCGUCAUCACAGAGAGGACGCCGAAACGUCUGCGCAGGGCCCUGCAGAUUCGACCAAACCUUACACCGCUGAGCAGAUGGAGGCGGUCAGGAAGAUUAAGGGCUGUAAAGAUUACUACCAAAUUCUGGGAGUAGAAAAGACUGCCUCUGAGGAAGAUCUUAAAAAAGCGUACCGGAAGCUGGCGCUGAAAUUUCACCCUGAUAAAAACCAUGCGCCGGGAGCCACCGAUGCAUUUAAAGCCAUUGGCAACGCUUACGCCGUGCUGAGCAACGCUGAGAAGCGGCGGCAGUACGACCAGUACGGGGAGGAGCGCUCGCACCCGAGCAGACAGCGGCAGCAUCGCGACUUUGAAGCCGAUAUUUCACCCGAGGACCUCUUCAACAUGUUCUUUGGUGGAGGCUUCCCAUCCAGUAACGUACACGUUUACAGAAAUGGAAGAAUGCACUUUGCGCACCACAACAGGCAAGAAAGAAGAGAGCAGCAGAGAGAUGGAGGCCUGGCUCUGUUUGUCCAGUUGAUGCCCAUCCUCAUCCUCAUCCUGGUGUCUGCGCUAAGCCAGCUCAUGAUCACGCAUCCUCCUUACAGCCUUAGCUACCAUCCGUCAGCAGGUUACGUUCACAAACGGCAUACGUCCCACCUGAAGGUGCCUUUCUACGUGGGCGAGCGCUUUAGCCACGAAUUCACCGGAGCCAACCUGAAGAAUCUGGAGAGAACUGUGGAGGAGGACUACAUCUCCAACCUCAGGAACAAGUGCUGGAAGGAGAAGCAGCACAAGGAAGGCCUAAUGUACCGCGCACGCUAUUUCGGGGACUCUGAGUUGUACAAGAGCGCAGAGAGGAUGGGGACUCCCAGCUGCAACCGGUUAUCUGAGAUUCAGCUCAUACUGGACGGUUAGAAACCCUUUGGACAAUUACGGAUUUCCACUGGCGCGCUAUAGUGCAAAGACAGAAGGAGUUGGAACACUCGCUCCGCUGUGUGACCAUAGAACUUUGGCCAAGAAAAUAUAAGUGGUUUCCUAAAGCGGCAGCCAGGUUUUUUUGGUACUUGAAUCAUUUUGGAGGACCGCUUUCAGGGCUUCACCCUUCCAAAUUGAAGUGCUUCUGUGCAGCAAACCCAAGAGAAUCCAAACAGGCCUUACGCACUGUGGGCAGCAGCAGACCUCACCUGGGAACCACUCGGCUGAUUUAGCGUACAACAUGCAAGGGGCUUUGGCCGAAGUUUUCUUCCUCUCCCACUUGUCUUUGGGAUGGCGUGGGUGCGCCGGUCGUCUGUUUUAAAUAGUCAAUGAAGCUGCUAAGAUUUUGAGCCCCCCCCCCCUUUUUUUUUUUUUUUUUUUUUUUGAGAACCUCAACCGACCUUCUCAUCGACUCAUGUCUGAGCCACUCAUUUGUUUUGUUUGUGUUUUUUCUAGUGUAAAUACUGAGUAGACUUUUUAACAGUGCAGAAUUUCUCACAGGUAACAUCAUUUAUUAAUGUUAAGUGACUUUGCUCGUAGCCCGUCAAGAUCAUUGAAAAAAAUUAUUGCACAGGUAAAUCUUAUUUAUUAAAUUAACAAGCAAAGAGUUGUAUAAUGGUUUUCUUUUGAAAUAAAUUUUGUCUGGAAUCAUU